This is a non-coding RNA of Pelobates cultripes (western spadefoot toad), 302 nucleotides long. The record is from the annotation of a GenBank genome assembly. Lineage: Eukaryota; Metazoa; Chordata; Amphibia; Anura; Pelobatidae.
CAAUUAUCAAAAAAGAAACACUUCCCAGUGGGAAUAUCCAUUCUUUAUAAGCAGAGUUUGUGAGUGGAAGCAUGCCCAACCCCACCAUCCAAAGUUCUGGUUUGGAAGAAACUCAUGACACCGUAUCUGGCCUUUCAACUCAAUCUGAGGUUGAAGCUUGAGGAUAAGGCACCAACAUACUACGUUGCGCUGUACAAUUGCUUGACUAACAAACAAGUAGUUACAAGCAGACAAAUUGGACAUACAAGAAUAGAAGGUCGUGAUAAUGAGGACAUGAUGCCAAAGACAAUGCUAUGCCGUAG